AUGGCGGCGACCGACGACAACAAGGCCGUGGAUGCCUUCCUGGCGUCGUGCGCCGAGUCCGGCGACACCGCGUACGGCGCGGCCAAGGCCGUUCUCGAGCGCCUCCAGGCCCCCGCCUCCCGCGCCGAGGCCCGGCGCCUCCUCGGUUCCGUCCGCCGCCGCUUCGCCGACCCCGCCGCCGGCCAGGACUGCUUCCGAACCUUUCACUUCCGCAUCCACGACGUCAUCUCGACCCCCACCUCCAAGGGAUCCCGGCAAACAAAGAAACUAACGAUGAUGGAGAUACCUAGCAUUUUCAGUCCUGAGGAUUGGUCCUUCACUUUCUAUGAGGGCCUCAGUCGGCAUCCAGAUUCCAUUUUCAGGGAUAAGACAGUAGCAGAGCUGGGAUGUGGGAAUGGUUGGAUAUCCAUUGCGCUUGCAGGAAAGUGGCUACCUUUGAAGGUCUAUGGUCUGGAUAUAAACCCAAGAGCUAUCAAGAUUGCACGGAUAAACCUUUACUUGAAUGCGCUUGAUGACGAUGGUCACACAAUCUGCGAUGUGGAGGGGAAAACGUUGCUUGAUAGAGUUGAGUUCUACGAAUCCGAUCUUCUGUCUUACUGUAGAGACAACAAGCUAGAACUGGAUCGAAUUGUUGGAUGCAUACCACAGAUUCUUAACCCCAAUCUAGAGGCAAUGUCAAGGAUUAUAACUGAAAUUUCAAGUGAGGAGUUCUUGUACUCUUUGAGCAACUACUGUUCUCUUCAGGGUUUUGUUGAGGACGAGUUUGGCCUUGGAUUGAUUGCUCGUGCAGUUGAAGAAGGGAUAGCUGUCAUAAAGCCUAUGGGUAUUAUGGUAUUCAACAUUGGUGGUCGACCAGGACAAGGUGUCUGUGAGCGCGUAUUUCUACGUCGUGGAUUUCACAUCAAGAAGCUCUGGCAAACAAAAAUUAUGCAGGCUGCCGACACUGAUAUUUCAGCUUUAGUUGAAAUUGAGGAGAAUAGCCCACAUCGAUUUGAGUUCUUCAUGGAUCUAGUUGGGGAUCAGCCUGUCUGUGCACGUACAGCCUGGGCAUAAAUGAAAUCUGGUGGCCACAGUUCACAUUCUUUAUCUGUGUACAGCUGUCAACUUUGCAAUCCCAACCAGGUGAAGAAAAUAUUUGAGUUUCUUAAAGAUGGAUUUCAUGAAGUCAGCAGUUCCCUUCAUUUGUCCUUCGAUGACGAUUCUGUUGCUGAUGAAAAAAUUCCCUUCCUAGCAUACCUAGCUAGUUUUUUGAAAGAUAAUAAAACCAAUCCUUGUGAGCCUCUAGCUGGAUGUCUAAACUUCCGGAAUCUUGUUGCUGGAUUUAUGAAGUGCUACCACCACAUCUCACUGACAUCUGAUAAUGUUGUUGUAUUCCCUUCCCAUGCUGUGGCAAUAGAAAAUGCUCUUCAAUUGUUCUCACCGGCCCUUGCAAUUGUUGAUGAACAUCUGACCAGACAUUUGCCGAAGCAGUGGUUAAGAUCUUUAGCGAUUGAGGAAAGAGCAGACGGUAAAGACACUAUCGGUGUAAUUGAGGCACCACGCCAAUCAGAUUUGCUGAUCGAGUUGAUCAGGAAAUUGAAGCCUCAGGUUGUUGUUGCUGGCAUGGCUCAAUUUGAGGCUAUCACCAGUGCUGCUGUUGUGAAUUUACUAAGCGCAACGAAAGAUGUUGGUUCUCGGUUACUCCUAGAUAUAUCAGAGCAUCUGGAGUUGUCUAGUCUGCCAAGAUCUAAUGGUGUAUUGAAAUAUCUUGCUGGAAACUCCCUACCUUCCCAUACAGCUAUACUGUGCAGUUUAGUAAAGAAUCAGGUAUAUCCUGAUCUGGAAGUUGCUUUUGUCAUUUCUGAAGAUGGAGCUGUCUGCAAGGCACUAUCACAAACUAUUGAACUAUUGGAAGGGCGUACCUGUGUAAUCAGCCAGAACUAUUAUGGCUGUCUUGUCCAUGAGCUGCUGGCUUUUCAAAUUGGUGAGAGGCAUCGGCAACAAAAGAGACGACCUGCAGAAGUGAUACCUGAGAAGAUGAUAGGAUUUUCAAAUUCAGCUAUCUCUAUCCUAAAAGAAGCUGACUUUUUUGUUCCUGAUUCCAAGGAAUCUGGCGUCAUUCAUAUGGAUUUAGAUCGUAGCUUCUUGCCAGUACCUUCUGCAAUGAAAGCCUCCAUUUUUGAAAGUUUUGUUAGGCAGAACGUCACUGAUUCUGAAACUGAUGUCCGUUCCAGCAUCCAACAGCUAGUGAAAGAUAGCUAUGGUUCCCCAACAAACUAUCAUUCUGAAAUUAUAUAUGGCCACACCUCCCUUGCACUCUUCCGCAAACUUGUUCUUUGUUGCAUGCAAGAAGGAGGUACUUUCCUAUACCCCUUGGGCACCAAUGGUCACUAUGUCUCGGCAGCAAAGUUUAUGAAUGCACGUACGCUCACUAUUCCAACAAACGUGGAAUCAGGCUUCAAAAUUGAACCAUUGGCUCUGGCUGAUGCAAUUCGCAGUGUGAACGCAUCUCGGUCAUGGGUUUAUAUAUCUGGUCCCACAACAAAUCCUUCUGUCUUCGUGUACAGUAACAAUGAGAUAGAAAGUUUGCUUUCUCUUUGUGCUAGUUCUGGAGCUAGAGUAGUGAUAGAUACCUCUUUCUCUGGUCUGGAGUUCCAAACUGAUGGUCGGAGUCGGUGGGAGUUGGAUUGGUUUCUUUGUGAUUUAGAUCCCAAACUCACCGUUUUUCUACUUGGAGAGCUGUCCCUUGAGAUAGCUACGGCUGGUCUUGACUUUGGAUUUCUAAUUUGGCAUAACCCGCACUUGAUUAAGUAUAGUUUCCCAAGCUUGAGCCGUCCACAUAGCACAUUAAAGUACACUUUCAGAAAAUUAUUGGAUCUUAAGAACCAGAUGGAUGAGCAUUUCUCUGAUCUAAUAGUGGAGCAAAAGGAGACACUGAAGAACCAGGCCAACCAGUUGAUGAAGACACUUGAGAGCUGUGGCUGGGAUGUUGCUGGCUGUCAAGGUGGUGAAUUCCAGCGGGCAAUGGACUGCAUAACUCGGUUCAAGGAGUUGGUUCUGUGAGGAGGCGAUGCUCGGAUGAAGGGUAACUAG
Molecule: ribosomal RNA, 3072 nt
Filed under: Triticum aestivum (bread wheat)
Lineage: Eukaryota; Viridiplantae; Streptophyta; Magnoliopsida; Poales; Poaceae
Description: partial small subunit ribosomal RNA
Source: RNAcentral